UGGGGGAUAUUGCGCAAUGGAGGAAACUCUGACGCAGCAACGCCGCGUGAAGGAAGAAGGUCUUCGGAUUGUAAACUUUUGUCUUCGGGGACGAUAAUGACGGUACCCGAGGAGGAAGCCACGGCUAACUACGUGCCAGCAGCCGCGGUAAUACGUAGGUGGCGAGCGUUGUCCGGAAUUACUGGGUGUAAAGGGUGCGUAGGCGGGUUGACAAGUCAGAUGUGAAAUCCCAUGGCUUAACUGUGGGACUGCAUUUGAAACUGUUGGCCUUGAGUGCAGGAGAGGUAAGCGGAAUUCCCAGUGUAGCGGUGAAAUGCGUAGAUAUUGGGAGGAACACCAGUGGCGAAGGCGGCUUACUGGACUGCAACUGACGCUGAUGCACGAAAGCGUGGGGAUCAAACA
This 402-nucleotide ribosomal RNA is filed under the name uncultured bacterium. Its description in RNAcentral is "bacterial SSU rRNA". It matches the Rfam family "Bacterial small subunit ribosomal RNA", at positions 355 to 774 of the family's 1533-position model. The record is from RNAcentral.